RNAcentral lists this long non-coding RNA (268 nucleotides) under Capsicum annuum. Its description in RNAcentral is "long non-coding RNA (CANN_LNC003672)". The record is from RNAcentral. Lineage: Eukaryota; Viridiplantae; Streptophyta; Magnoliopsida; Solanales; Solanaceae.
AAAAUAGAAAAUAAAUUUAUUCGGUAUUGUCACUCCCACAAUUGCCGUGAAUUUUUUUGCUCAAAUCAUUCAUAUAGUAGUAGAUCAUAGCCAAACUAUAUAUGGUGAACUCAUUUUCACAAACUACUGUUCAGGUCAUCUUCACUUAACUUCUCUAUCAAUUCAACUCACAUCAAGUUACUAAUAUUACUCAAGCUCGAGGUACCAUGGUUUGACUAUGGUAUCGAGUUUGAAUCACCAAAGGAGCAGAAAAGUUGGAAUCUCCAAG